Molecule: ribosomal RNA, 406 nt
Filed under: uncultured bacterium
Lineage: Bacteria
Description: partial 16S ribosomal RNA
Rfam family: Bacterial small subunit ribosomal RNA
Source: RNAcentral
AUUGAACGCUGGCGGCAGGCCUAACACAUGCAAGUCGAACGAGUGGCGGACGGGUGAGUAAAGUCUGGGAAACUGCCUGAUGGAGGGGGAUAACUACUGGAAACUGUAGCAAAUACCGCAUACCAUCAGAUGUGCCCAGAUGGGAUUAGCUGGUUUGUGGGGUAACGGCUCACCAGGGCGACGAUCCCUAGCUGGUCUGAGAGGAUGACCAGCCACACUGGAACGUAUACACGGUCCAGACUCCGACGGUAGGCAGCGGUGGGGAAUAUUGCACAAUGGGCGCAAGCCUGAUGCAGCCAUGCCGCGUGUAUGAAGAAGGCCUUCGGGUUGUAAAGUACUUGCAGCGGGGAGGCGUUACCCGCAGAAGAAGCACCGGCGAACUCCGUGCCAGCAGCCGCGGUAAUUC